This 177-nucleotide unclassified non-coding RNA is filed under the name Basidiomycota sp. RNAcentral describes it as "partial contains small subunit ribosomal RNA, internal transcribed spacer 1, and 5.8S ribosomal RNA". The stretch from base 1 to 47 matches the Rfam family "Eukaryotic small subunit ribosomal RNA", at positions 1785 to 1831 of the family's 1831-position model. Lineage: Eukaryota; Fungi; Basidiomycota. The record is from RNAcentral.
AAAGUCGUAACAAGGUUUCCGUAGGUGAACCUGCGGAAGGAUCAUUAGUGAUUGGCUUCGGCCUCAUAUCCUUUCAAACCUGUGCACCUCUUGGCUCCGGCCAAUCCAAACAUGUGUCAUGAAUGUACAUAUACAAAACCAAAAACAAAACUUUCAACAACGGAUCUCUUGGUUCUG